UUCAAUAGUUCGAUCCAAUAUUAUAAAUCUUCCACACAGAAUGAAGAAAGAAAAAAUCAAAGGGAACUAUUCUAACGAAAGAAUACUCGUGAACAAGCAGAACAAACAAUUCUAAUUCCAUGUCUAGGAAAUGAGCCUCUACCUAAUCCUGAGUGGAAGAAUAGCAUGCAUGCACGUAAGGAAUUUUGGAUCCUCAAAGAAAAUUGAAUGCCACCAUCCAAAAGAA
This is a long non-coding RNA of Glycine soja, 226 nucleotides long. RefSeq lists it as uncharacterized. The record is from RefSeq and is a predicted model, not a curated record. Lineage: Eukaryota; Viridiplantae; Streptophyta; Magnoliopsida; Fabales; Fabaceae. The transcript has 2 exons.